GACAUAUUUCUAUAUUUAGUAACAAUUUAGCUAUAAAAUGUUUAUUUUACUCUUAAUAAAAUGAUUUACAACCACAUAGUUUUCUAUCAUUCAUUUUGGACCACAAGUUUUAAAAGUCUUUCUUUCUUAAAUUCCGUAUCGAAUCAAACUACUUCACAUAAAAUGAGAUGGAGGAAGUAUAUUAUUAUUGUCAAAUUUUCAGUAUGCCCCAAC
Molecule: long non-coding RNA, 213 nt
Filed under: Solanum tuberosum (potato)
Lineage: Eukaryota; Viridiplantae; Streptophyta; Magnoliopsida; Solanales; Solanaceae
Description: long non-coding RNA (STUB_LNC004930)
Source: RNAcentral